GAAAUGCGAUAAGUAGUGUGAAUUGCAGAAUUCAGUGAAUCAUCGAAUCUUUGAACGCACAUUGCGCCCCUUGGUAUUCCAUGGGGCAUGCCUGUUCGAGCGUCAUUUGUACCUUCAAACUUUGCUUGGUGUUGGGUGUUUGUCUCGCCUCUGCGCGCAGACUCGCCUCAAAACAAUUGGCAGCCGGCGUAUUGAUUUCGGAGCGCAGUACAUCUCGCGCUUUGCACUCAUAACGACUACGUCCAAAAAGUACAUUUUUUACACUCUUGACCUCGGAUCAGGUAGGGAUACCCGCUGAACUUAAGC
This 306-nucleotide unclassified non-coding RNA is filed under the name plant metagenome. Its description in RNAcentral is "partial contains 5.8S ribosomal RNA, internal transcribed spacer 2, and large subunit ribosomal RNA". The stretch from base 1 to 105 matches the Rfam family "5.8S ribosomal RNA", at positions 50 to 154 of the family's 154-position model. The record is from RNAcentral.